CGGUAUGUCCUGAACCGCAAUUCUUUCCGGAACCACAUCCUUUUCCGUAUCCUCCUCCGCUGGCAUGACCUGAUGAAGAAGAACCACUUCCUUUUCCUUUUCCGUAUCCUCCUCCGCUGGCAUGACCAGAAGAACCACUUCCUUUCCCGUUACCUCCUCCGUUGGCAUGACCUGAAGAAGAAGAACCACUUCCUUUUCCGUUUCCUCCACCGCUGGCAUGACCUGAAGAACCACUGCCUUUUCCAGACCCGGUAUGUCCUGUACCGCAAUUCUUUCCG
RNAcentral lists this long non-coding RNA (278 nucleotides) under Zostera marina. Its description in RNAcentral is "long non-coding RNA (ZMAR_LNC001855)". The record is from RNAcentral. Lineage: Eukaryota; Viridiplantae; Streptophyta; Magnoliopsida; Alismatales; Zosteraceae.